GGUGAACGCUGGCGGCGUGCUUAAGACAUGCAAGUCGAACGCAGUCUUCGGACUGAGUGGCGCACGGGUGAGUGACACGUAACUGACCUACCCCCAAGUCGCGGAUAACUGGCCGAAAGGUCAGCUAAUACGUGAUGUGAUGUCCCCUUUCUGGGGGGCCAUUAAAGGUUUACUGCUUGGGGAUGGGGUUGCGUUCCAUCAGCUAGUUGGCGGGGUAAAGGCCCACCAAGGCAACGACGGAUAGCCGGCCUGAGAGGGUGGCCGGCCACAGGGGCACGGGGACACGGGUCCCACUCCUACGGGAGGCAGCAGUUAGGAAUCUUCCACAAUGGGCGAAAGCCUGAUGGAGCGACGCCGCGUGAGGGAUGAAGGUUCUCGGAUCGUAAACCUCUGAAUCAGGGACGAAAGACGCGUAAGCGGGAUGACGGUACCUGAGUAAUAGCACCGGCUAACUCCGUGCCAGCCGCCGCAGUAA
This 475-nucleotide ribosomal RNA is filed under the name uncultured bacterium. RNAcentral describes it as "partial 16S ribosomal RNA". It matches the Rfam family "Bacterial small subunit ribosomal RNA", at positions 28 to 523 of the family's 1533-position model. The record is from RNAcentral.